Molecule: ribosomal RNA, 405 nt
Filed under: uncultured bacterium
Lineage: Bacteria
Description: partial 16S ribosomal RNA
Rfam family: Bacterial small subunit ribosomal RNA
Source: RNAcentral
GACGACGCUGGCGGCGUGCCUAAUACAUGCAAGUAGAACGAGUUGCGAACGGGUGAGUAAUGUCUGGGAAACUGCCUGAUGGAGGGGGAUAACUACUGGAAACGGUAGCUAAUACCGCAUACCAUCAGAUGUGCCCAGAUGGGAUUAGCUAGUAGGUGAGGUAACGGCUCACCUAGGCGACGAUCCCUAGGUGGUCUGAGAGGAUGACCAGCCGCACUGGAACAGGUGUACGGUCCAGACUCCUUCGGGAGGCAGCAGAGGGGAAUAUAGCACAAUGGGCUCAAGCCUAGUGCAGCCGUGGCUCGUGUAUGAAGAAGGCCUUCGUGUUGUAAAGUACUUUCAGCGGUGAGGCGUUACCCGCAUAAGAAGCACCGGCUAACUCCGUGCCAGCAGCCGCGGUAAUAC